CCCACGCAGAAGCUCGAGUUAAGAUAAUUACCUCUUCUGAAGAGUCCAUCACGUUUUUUUAAUCCUCCGUGUCCUCCUUGGCUACUAGCAACUGUGUGGCAGAGGGGUGGGGGCACGUGCACAAUUACGGAGC
Molecule: long non-coding RNA, 133 nt
Organism: Sander lucioperca (pikeperch)
Lineage: Eukaryota; Metazoa; Chordata; Actinopteri; Perciformes; Percidae
Exons: 3
Source: RefSeq, a predicted model, not a curated record